Molecule: ribosomal RNA, 777 nt
Filed under: Halomonas sp. LAMA 634
Lineage: Bacteria; Pseudomonadati; Pseudomonadota; Gammaproteobacteria; Oceanospirillales; Halomonadaceae
Description: bacterial SSU rRNA
Rfam family: Bacterial small subunit ribosomal RNA
Source: RNAcentral
ACUGUCAGUCGAGCGGUACAGGUCCUUCUGGAUGCUGACGAGCGGCGGACGGGUGAGUAAUGCAUAGGAAUCUGCCCGGUAGUGGGGGAUAACCUGCGGGAAACCCACGCUAAUACCGCAUACGUCCUACGGGAGAAAGGGGGCUGGCGCUCCCGCUAUUGGAUGAGCCUAUCUCUGAUUAGCUAGUUGGUGGGGUAAAGGCUUACCAAGGCAACGAUCCGUAGCUGGUCUGAGAGGAUGAUCGGCCACAUCGGGACUGAGACACAGCCCGAACUCCUACCGGAGGCAGCAGUGGGGAAUAUUGGACAAUGGGGGCAACCCUGAUCCAGCCAUGCCGCGUGUGUGAAGAAGGCCCUCGGGUUGUAAAGCACUUUCAGCGAGGAAGAACGCCUGUCGGUUAAUACCCGGUAGGAAAGACAUCACUCGCACAAGAAGCACCGGCUAACUCCGUGCCAGCAGCCGCGGUAAUACGGAGGGUGCAAGCGUUAAUCGGAAUUACUGGGCGUAAAGCGCGCGUACGUGGCUUGAUAAGCCGGUUGUGAAAGCCCCGGGCUCAACCUGGGAACGGCCUCCGGAACUGUCAGGCUAGAGUGAAUGAGAGGAAGGUAGAAUUCCCGGUGGACGGGUGAAAUGCGUAUAUAUCGGGAGGAAUACAAGUGGCUAACGCGGCCUUCUGGACUGACACUGACACUGACGGGCGUAAGCGUGGGUAGCUAACAAGAUUAAAUACACGGGUAGUCCGCGCCGUACACGAUGUCGAUCAGCCGUUGGGUGCGU